Molecule: unclassified non-coding RNA, 1221 nt
Filed under: Hevea brasiliensis (rubber tree)
Lineage: Eukaryota; Viridiplantae; Streptophyta; Magnoliopsida; Malpighiales; Euphorbiaceae
Source: RNAcentral
GGCCAAGUUGGCAUCAAAGAAAGACUUCACUGUUCCAAUAUCCUCCCAGUAAUCAUUAAACAAAUAUGCCUGGACAUUGUGAUCUUUCACAGCAGAAGGGAUAAUUUCAGAGCCAAAAUCAUUGCAUGAAGGGUACGCUGACUUGAGAAGUUUUAGUAAAACAUCAGUUUUGAAUACAUAAACACCCAUGGAUGCAAUGUAAGGAAAAUUGGACGCCUCUUGCUCAGAUAGUCCGAGGAUAGAUGUGUCAACUUGCAUUGCCUUCAAAGCAGGGCCUUUUGGUUUUUCAGCAAAUUGGAUGAUACGUCCUGUUUCAUCUAUUUUCAUCAAUCCAAAAUCUGAAGCUCGACCAUCGUCCAUUGGAACACAUGAAACUGUAAUAUCAGCAUUUGCGUCAAUAUGCUUCUGAACAAAGUCCAUGUAGUUCAUUCGGUAAAGAUGGUCACCAGACAAAAUUAUUAUGUGCUCGACAUUCUUGUUCUUCUGAUUCUCAAAUACCCAUAUGAAUUGCCGCACAGCAUCAGCAGUGCCUUGGAACCACAUUUUUCCUGCAUCCCCUGGAGUCUGGGUUGCAGCUAAAACCUCCACAAAUCCAUCUCCAAAACCCACUCCAUUUCCAAAAUUAUACGUGCGGGCAAGGUGACGAUUGAGGGAAAAGGAAUUGAACUGUGUUAAGAUGAAAAUUUUCCGUAUGCCACUGUUAAUGCAGUUACUCAUUGGUACAUCAAUUAGCCGGUAACAACCACCAAUAGGAACAGCUGGUUUAGCUCUUCUGCUUGUAAGAGGAAAAAGACGAGUUCCAACACCACCACCUAGAAUGACAGAGGCAACAGCUUUUGGAUCUGCCGUUGGUUGUUCCUCAAACAUUGAAUUUUCAAAUGGCAGCAUCUCUUUGUUUAUAUCACGGGUGAGAACAGCAGAGGUAACAUUUUUACCCCUUUGUUGAGUUGUAAAGCUCUUGCACCACCGGACCCCAAAACCCUUGUUUAUCAAUCUUCUUCCACUAAUCUUCUGUCCCCAAAAUGUGCUCUCUUGGUUGCAAAUUGCCACUGAUUGUGCAGUGCCCGCACACAACGCAUCCAUUGCUCUGAAUUAAGCUUUUUCAAACACCCAACUUUUCCUCAAAAAGUAUUUGGUAUAAACAAAAUUAUUACUAGGUUACAGUGCGUUCAUAACACAACACAGUGGCGUUGUAAAGUCUGUGGACUCUCUUGAGAUUUC